UUUUUUUAUGUGGCAUGCUUAGCACCUGUCCACGGUGGAGCAUUGGGAAAGGUCUGAUGUGUGUUUCAACGACUAUUUAACGCAAAGCGUGCCGAAUAGUAAUGCUCUCUUUUUCUUUUUCUUUUCUUGUUUUGAAGCAGGAAAUGCUCUCUUAUGGUGUAUAGAUAUUGAUAUAGGUAUGAUAAACCGAAGAAAAAUUUAUAUAAGGGAAUAACUUUUUCACUUUGUAUUUUGACCAUCCACUUAUAUCAUUCCAAUAUACUCCCUCUGUAAACUAUUAUAAGAGCGUUUAGAUUAAUAAAACAGUGAUCUAAACACUCUUAUAUUAGUUUACGGAGGGAGUAUUUCAUACUGUUAUGUGAUCGAUACACAUUUUCUUUGCCAUCCUUUAAUCAUCAAACAAAUUUGUUUGCUCUGAACCACUGAUCGACCAACGGGCUCAGUGAAGUGAAGUGAAGUGUUUGCACGUGAGAGAUGGAAAGCGGAUUCCUGUCCGACACAUCGUCACCCGCUGAUCACUUCAUCAGUUUGAGACUUAGUCAAGACAAUGAUUGCCGGAGACUGACCUUUCACCUUCCAGAUUGAUCAACCAUCAUCUGCAUCUGAAUACUUCAUGAAGAAAUCAUAUGGAGAAACAGAAGAAUUCGGUUUGCUAAUCAAUAUGGCUCAGUGAAGUGAAUUCCUGUCCGACACAUCGUCACCGGCUCAUCACUCAUCAGUUUGAGACUAUAGUCAAGACAAUGAUUGCCGGAGACUGACCUUUCACCUUCCAGAUUGAUCAACCAUCAUCUGCAUCUGAAUACUUCAUGAAGAAAUCAUAUGGAGAAACAUAAGAAUUCGGUUGGCUAAUCAAUAUGUCUGUGACGGUAUGAUGCUUUCCCUGUUCACCAGUAUCACUAGCGAAAGGGACCAAUUACCCACUGAUAAACACCAUGUACCGGACGGCAAUGACAUCAAGAAAAAUCAUUCGCCUUCCCGCGCGUGUGAUUUGUCGCUAUCAUGCUUUUCAUACUACAAUGACAUGCAACAAUUAUUUCAUCAAGGAACUAUGAGAUUCUAGUGUUUCCGUGCGAUAAAACCAGAUUGCUGCCCCAGAUUCUUGCUAAUAUGUAUAUAGCCAAACAGAGAUCAGAAUUGGCCCUAAGCUCAAAACUCAGCAGACAAUACAAGUCGGCAAAAUGUUCUUCACUGAACAUUCUUUUAUUGGCAUUCUUCAGCCUAAGUUAAAGAACUAAUGCAUCAACUGCCUGACAUAGGUGACAUGCACAUUAACCAGCGAUACUACAACGCGGGGUAUGUUAAAAGGUUCAAAUCGGCAACGACAGUACCACUCUCUGCAGUCUGCACUGCCUUCAUAGAGACUAUGAACACAGGACGGCGGCUCUUUUUACAGGUUCACGGCAAAACAGAACGCUUCUCCUUGCUUUAC
RNAcentral lists this long non-coding RNA (1429 nucleotides) under Triticum aestivum (bread wheat). Its description in RNAcentral is "long non-coding RNA (TAES_LNC021984)". The record is from RNAcentral. Lineage: Eukaryota; Viridiplantae; Streptophyta; Magnoliopsida; Poales; Poaceae.